RNAcentral lists this long non-coding RNA (1616 nucleotides) under Marmota monax (woodchuck). Lineage: Eukaryota; Metazoa; Chordata; Mammalia; Rodentia; Sciuridae. The record is from RNAcentral.
CCUUGUUCUCCCAUUUCCUGCCAUGGCCUGGGUGUGGUCAGCCCUUUCCUUCAGCACCCAGCAUGUUGCGGAACUCAGUUAAUGCUGGCUGGCUUUGGCUGAGCCCUGCCCACCGCUGUUCUUUCUGCUCGCACUGCUGCUCUGGUUUUGGUCUACAGCACUCUCUCCCCCAUGAGCUUUCCCCAUCCAGGGCAUGUGGCUCUGUUCAGAGAGCCUGCCUGUCGCUCAGUGGUGUAUGGGAACGUGUGUUUUUCUGGGAUGCAUUUCCCGUAACUUCCAUCAUAUUUUCCCCAAUACCCGUGACCCCAAAGAAGAAGCAAAUUUGUCCCUUGGCAACUGCACUUUGUGGCCCUACAGAGGCAGCUGAGAUCACAGCUAAACAAUGAGGACAGUGUCACUUUUAUAAGAUUUUGCUUGGCCAUGUUAGAAACCCCAAGUCCCUACAAUUCCCAAAUAGUCCCUACCACGGCCUACAAAAAUAAAACCAAAAAUUUUAAUUGGAGAAAAACACAUAGCAUCUUAUUGUCAUGGAGCAUCUGUGAGAAAUAAGAUUAUAUGGGCAGAAGUGGUGAGCAAGACCAUGUGCUUAGUGUGUGCUUCUGUCUGUGGGGCUGGCCUCUGUGAGUGUACUUGAAAGCAUGAGCAUCUUGCCAGGGAGCGCAGGACUGUAUCAGGCAGGUCCUUCAGAAAGACAGAACUGACAAGAUGUGUGUGUGUAUGCACACACACACGGAGACAGAAAAUUGUCCUAUGUGGACAGGAGACAAGCAGUUCUGAAUUCUGCAGGACAGAAGCUGGAAAUUCUAGCAGGAGCUGAUGGAACGGUGUUGGGAUGAAAGGCAACCUGGAGGCAGAAUUUGCUCUUCGGGGCCCCAGAUCUUUGCUCUGAAGGCCUUCAACUGAUUGGAUGAGUCUCACCUACAUGAUGGAGGGUGAUCUACUUUGCCUAAUCUACUGAUUUUAGUAUUCAUGAUGUUUGAAAAAGACUUUCAUGUGCCAGGCGUGAUGGCCCACACCUGUAAUCCCAGUGGCUCAGAAGGCUUGUGGCAGGAGAUUGUUGGUUCCAGCCAGCCUCAGCAACUUAGCAAGGUCCUAAGCAACUUGGCAAGACCCUGUCUCAAAAUAAAAUAUACAAAUGGCUGAGGAUGUGGCUCAGUGGUUAAGUGCCCCAGGGUGCAAUCCCCACUCUCAAAACAACAACAGCGACAACAAAAAACACAAAAAAGAAAAAGACGUUCACAGUAACAUCUUGAUUGGUGUUUUAUCAAACACUGGACAACAUAGCCUAGCCAAGUUGACACAUAAAAUUAACCAUCAUAGGGACAUAGAUCUUCACCAUGCCCUAUAGCAGCCAGCCCCUCUGAGCCUCUAAAGAGUAAAAGCCAGUCAAUCAAAUGAUGACUGAGGUUCAGAACACCCAGCACAGAACCUGCUGUGUGCAUUGAAGAUAGGGGCCAUCGGAGUCCCUCUGUGGACACACAAGGAAAGCACUGUGAUGCUGUGAUAGUGACCAUGUUUUCCAAACAAAAAUCUGAGCCACCUGACUGGCAAAUAGGAAUGCAUUUGUGAAAAAAAGCAGGGCAGGGUGUUCAAAAUCAUGGCUUUGGUGGAAACAU